GCUACCAGUCAGAAUUAGUUCCCAAAAUUUACCUUAAAGAAUAUAUGAGUAACACCCCUAUUAGGCAUGUUAGGAGUGUAACCCCUAAUUUGCAUAUCUGUGGUCAAGCCCAAGGAGUGGGCAUCAUACUUGCACAAAGAGCUCUUUGCUUAGAAAAAGAAAGUUGGAUGCAGUUGCUCUUAAAGAAGCUCACAGCAAGUUGACAAGAAUUCAUCAUUUUGGGGUAUAUAACAGUUGGUGAGUUUAAUUAUUUUCAUUUAUUAUAUUGCAUAAUGUUGUAAUUAUAUAUUAAUGUACUAAUUGCAAGAUUUAACUUAGGAAGAUACAUAUUGCAAGUUGGUCAGUAAUUAUACCAACUCUCUCAUGGAUUAUAUAUAUGUUUCUGUGAUGCGAGAUAAUUAUGUGUGCAGCAUAUAAAUGGGCACACCCAGCAAGAUAUAAUUUACAUUUGAUGUAUAUUCUAUUAUAUGUAUGAUAGAUUCAUCUUAGUUUAAGAUUCAUUUAAUCCUUGUAUAUUAUCUGGGAUAAGUUGUUUCAGUUAUAGAUGUAUGUAAUUCAUUAGUAGCCUCGCUUAUAUAUCACAUAUUGUGUAUAUAGUCAAGUUAGGGAAAGAAGUGAAAGUAAGUUUAGAGCGAGAAGGAGUUUAUGACUCAUCAUCAUACUCUGGACAGUGCUCGCAUCUCCUCACAAAGGGAAGCCCUACACUGUGCAUACAAUGCAUGCAAUACACCAAUACCAGUGUGUGUGUGUGAGGGGAUGCAGACCACUCUCUGGCUGGUGAUGAAUCGGACUCCAGAGCAGAGUUUCAGAGAAAACCACUGUUAGAGGAUCUGUUCCGACCCAAACUUAAUUCUCACUGAUCCAAGUCAGUGUGAAUGGGGUUUAUAGGAAUGUCAUUUAGAGACAGAAACAAAAGUUUAGUUUGAAGUUCUUAUUAGUUGUUGUACUACAGCAAAGUUAAAGGAAUAAUUCAUGUGUUACGUAUACAUGUAUUCAGUUAAUGUUUAUUGCUUAUAUUUAAUCUCAGUAUCUAAUGUAUAGAAUAGAUCAUGAAUAACAAGUUAUGAUCGAUGUAUCAUUAACGCAUCUUAUGCUAUUAAGAGCCCAAGUCACAUUUGAAAGAUAAGUCCACAAACAAUUUACUUUGGUUUAAUAAGAAUAUUAAUCAUAUAUCACAAUAUUACAUUUGGUGUUUAUCAUGUAGUUAAACAAGUAUAAUAUCAUAUAGACUAUUCAUGUAUGUAAUCAGACAGUUUAAUUUAACUUAUACAAUUUACUUAUUAAUUCAUGUUUAUGUUUAUUUGUUUCAGCUAACCACACACAUACGCAGUGACACACACACACGUUGGUCAUACAUACACACCUACGCACAGUGGAACACGUGCGACUGGUUGUAUUCACAUGUACGUCAUAUAAGCUCAGGCAGUGUUCACACAUUACGCUCAAGUCGUGUUCACACACAAGUUUAUGUUACGAAUCAAGUGACACUUCGACAUUUGUUAUUGCUCGUCGAUCUUUAUCCAUUGAAUAAAUGCAACAAGGUUUUAUUGGUUGGAACUUUAAGACAAGGUCUUCGUGGUGAUUUAUUAAGCGUCGUGGUGACUUUCAAGUUUGUGUGCGUUAGAACGUUAUAGUUUCCCUCCGUGUAGGAAGUUUAUUUCGUGAGCUGUAAACGACCCUACACGUCAGUUAGCAACUCGAUAUAUAAGUCAGUUAACAACUCGCUAUAUUAGUUAAGAUGUCUUCUUCAGAAAAGAGUUCGACGACGAGCAAGCCUGUUGAUCACAAGGAUACAUCAAGGGACUCGCCGUCAGAUGAUAGCACGCCAAUUAAAGCAAAAACUGAGCAGUCAGAAGAUGUCGCGUCAAUGCGGCAUUCUUGCCAAGGUUACAUAAGAAGCUUGGCAAGACAGUUCCAAGAACUUGAGUUUCUCAUGCUAAGUGGAGACAACUUUGAUGAAGCUGAACUCAAGUACAGCCAACUUAAAGGUACAUUCCUUCUAUAUGAAAGGAAGUGCAAAGACUACUUUCGCGAACUAUCAACCGAUGAAAAGCGAGCCGAGAUGAAAUUAUAUGAAUCUCAGAUGGAAAAUAAGGUUGAAUUUGACCGCCGAUACUCAGAAUGGGCCGAUCAGAUGAGACAACCCAUGGUGGAAGAUCUACAAUCUGAGAACUCAGACAAGCUAUCUGUUCGGUCAUCGGCAACAAGAAGAAGCGGUUCCAGUCGGGCAAGCGGCUUGAGCUCAUCUUCAUCGCGACUAAGGGAUGUCAAGGUGAAAGCGCAUCUCGCCAAGCUCAAGUUAGAACAAUUAAAGAAAGCUCAAAAAGUUAAACGAGAGCAGGAAAGGCUCAAAGAACAGUUGGACGCUAUGGAGAUAGAAAAUGAAAUAAAAAAUGCUGAGGUAGAAGCUCAGCUCUUAGAAGAUACUGAGAGUGAAGUUGAGUUAAAGGUAAGAAGUGACUAUGAUGUUAAUGAUAUUAUGCAUGUACAUGUACCACAUAGGGUAAAUAAGGAACCAAAUAAGGAAGAGCGGCCAACUGAAAAUGUAGUUAAAGAUACAUGUAACACAGGUCUGUCUAAUCUGAACCCUAAUGCCCCAGUAUGGCAGACCAAUCAAAAUGUUGCACAGGGACUCGAUUUACCUCAACUCUUUCAGGCCCUGAAUCUUUCUGUAAAUCUCCCCAAACCUGAUUUGAUGACAUUUGAUGGUAAACCAAUAGAUUACCAGUCAUUUAUUAACAACUUUGAAAUCAAUAUAGAGGGAAAGAUUACAGAUAAUAGGACAAGGUUGAUGUACCUUAUUCAAUACUGCUCAGGGGUAGCAAGGAGCAGCAUUGAGAAUUGUGUCCUAAUGGGUGGGGAUCUUGGGUACCUAGAAGCCAAAAGAAUACUUAGGGAACAGUUUGGACAACCUUACAUAGUAGCCCAGGACCAUCUAAAGAAAGUCCUAAAUCGCCCCCAAGUAAAAUCGAAUGAUGGGGCUAGGAUGUGGUCAUUGGCUAGGGACAUGCAAAGAUGUCAGAUGGUUCUUAGUCAAAUGGGUUAUAUGGCAAACGUCAAUAACUCAGAUAAUUUACUAAAGAUUCAACAGCUUCUCCCAAUCCAUCUCCAGUCAGAGUGGGCCAAGCAAGCACACAGGUUGAUGGAGAACAACGCAGUUCCGACGUUCGAAGUGAUGACAACCUUCGUGGAGAAGGCCGCUAAACUGGCCAACAAUAUGUUUGGCCAAAACAUUGGGCGGUCCUCCACGAAGGAAAAUACACAAUCUUCGAAGAUGCAACCUAAGAGAAAGGGCACCACCCUGACAACGCAAGGUAAGAGCCCAAAACAGCAGACGCCGGGACAGGAUAGCAGGCCAGGCAACAAGUGCCCCUGUUGUUCUGAAGAUCAUAGGCUGAGUGCUUGCAAGGUCUUCAAGCAAAAGCCUUAUGAAGACAGAUUCAAGCUGGCACAAAAGGUGAGGGUAUGUUUCAACUGCCUCCUGCCAUCACACAUGGCGAAGAACUGCACCAGCGAAGGUAGGUGCAGGCGAGAAGGAUGCCAGAAGAAGCAUCACACCCUUCUUCAUUCCUCCACGAAACAAAGCUCCAGGACAGCUACAACUGGGGCCGGUGAAAGGGAAGGGAUUCCACCUGAGCCAGCAAGUGACGUCACAGAAGCCGGUCAAUGCCAUAGUGUGUCUUCCCGAAAGAAGGUGUGCCUGAGAGCUGUUCCUGUGAAAGUCAGGGGCAAAGACAAGGACGUUUUCACCUGGGCACUCCUGGACCAAGGAAGUGAUGUAUCGCUGUGUGACAGGAAACUAGUCGAGGAACUGGGCAUACAGGGAGUCAAAAGAAGCUUCCAACUCACCACAGUGGACACUGUGGGCACCAUCAAGACUGGUCUGGAGGUAAGGCUCAAUGUAGAAAACAUCCACGACAAUGAAAGCAUAACCAUGUCAAGGGUAUGGACGGUUGAAAGCCUUCCUAUAUCCGAAUCCUGCAUCCCAGAUGGCACAGAUGUAAACAAAUGGUCACAUCUACGAGGAAUCGAACUUCCCCGUAUCGAAGAAAGGGAAGUUCGGAUCCUGAUAGGAGCAGACACUCCAGAGGCUUUCUGGGUGAUGGAGCAGAGGAUUGGGAAGAGAAAGGAACCCUAUGCAGUAAGGUCUUUGCUAGGAUGGACUCUUCUUGGACCAACAAGGUCAGCAGACGCCAACACUCCAAACCAUGUCAACUUUGCUCGUCUGGAGGACCAGAGGCUUGAUGACCAGCUUAAGCAAUUCUGGACAACAGACUUCGGAGCAUAUAUGGUUGGAGACAAGGUAGGAGAGUCCAUAGAAGACAGAAGGGCGAGAAAGAUGAUGGAGGAAAGUACUACACUAGUUGAAGGUCACUACGAGGUUGGUCUUCCGUGGCGCCAUAGUCCAGCAUUCCUACCAGACAGUAGAAAGAUGGCUGCCUCAAGGCUUCACUACUUGAAGGGAAAAUUCAAUAGGAAUGAAGAGAUGUACAACAAGUACAAUGCAACUGUACAAGAGUACAUAGACAAGGGCUAUGCGGAAGAAGUAGGACCAUAUGAGGACCAAGGUUCUCCUACCAAGCCUCUGUGGUACUUACCGCAUCAUCCGGUCCUGCACCCUCAUAAGCCAAACAAGGUGAGGGUGGUCUUCGACUGUGCGGCACGGUCGAAAGGCCAAUCCCUGAACGAUCAGCUUCUACAGGGCCCCGAUUAUACAAACAGCCUUGUAGGAGUACUCACAAGAUUUCGACAGGAACCCAUUGCCUUGGUAGCGGACGUGGAAGCAAUGUUCCACCAAGUCAAGGUGAGAGUUGACCACAGGGACGCCCUUAGAUUUCUCUGGUGGAAAGAUGGCGACACAAGCCAUGAACCAUCAGAAUAUAGGAUGACGGUGCAUCUAUUUGGUGCAACCUCAUCACCAAGUGUUGCUGGAUACGCCUUGAGAAAGACAGCAGACGACAAUGAGACAACUGACAACCAUCAGGCAACCAAGAUCGUCAGACGGAAUUUCUAUGUAGACGAUUGCCUAACGUCAGUAAAGUCUGCUGAAGAAGCCUCAAGGUUAGUUAAUGAAUUGAGAGAGCUGCUGAGCAAAGGUGGGUUUAGGCUCACAAAGUGGAUUAGUAAUGACCGUAAUGUACUGUCGUCUGUUCCAGAAGCCGAAAGAGCAGCAUCUGUACCGAAUAUGGAUCUAGAUAAGUUACCAGUGGAGCGAACACUCGGUAUACUUUGGGAUGUGGACCAAGACUCCUUCGGUUUCAAGGUGAAUAUCAAAGAGAAACCAACCACAAGACGAGGGAUCUUAUCUACCGCAAGCUCCCUCUAUGAUCCACUAGGGUUCGUAGCUCCCUUUGUCCUCCCUGCCAAAGCUCUGCUACAGAAACUUUGUAGGGAAGGACUUGGUUGGGAUGAGCCCAUCCCAGAGGACGAGGAAAGGGAAUGGAGCAACUGGCUCCAAAGUCUCCCCAUUCUAACCGGCCUCAAGAUAAGCAGAUGCCUCAAGCCCACCUACUUCAAGGACGUGGUGUCAGCUCAACUCCACCACUUCUGCGAUGCAUCCGAGAUCGGAUACUCCUCAGUGGCUUACCUGCGCUUAACCGAUGAAAGUGGGAGAAUACACUGCGCCUUCGUCAUGGGUAAGUCAAGACUAUCCCCAUUGAAGACGGUGUCUAUUCCACGACUGGAAUUAUCUGCUGCAGUUCUCGCAGUCGACGUCAAUCGAUUCCUGCAAGAGGAACUUGAUGUUCCAGUAAAUGAGACCUUCUACUGGACGGACUCAACAGCAGUCCUGCAGUAUAUUCGGAACGAAAGUAGGAGAUUCCAUACUUUCGUCGCCAACAGAGUUGCCAAGAUACAUGAAGCAUCUCAUGUAUCACAGUGGCGGCACGUUGGAACAAAGAUCAAUCCAGCUGAUGACGGUUCCAGGGGCAUGACUGCAAAGGAGUUGAUAGACAAUCCUCGCUGGUUACAAGGACCACAAUUCCUGCAGCAGGAUGAGGAGAAUUGGCCAGCUCCACCAGAUGUCAUCCAGGAACUUUCAGCAGAAGACCUUGAAGUUAAAAAGGUACAAGUCCAUACGAUUACCUCCAAGAACUCCAUAGACGAGCUCAUCACAAGAUACUCAUCAUGGAUAAGUCUUCUGAGAGGUGUAGCCUGGCUACUUCGAUACAAGCAGUACCUCAAAUCUCGGGGUGAUGAUAAGACAGUAAGCACUGAUGACCUGUCGCCUCAAGAGUUGAAGGCUGCGGAAGUAGAAUUAAUCAGGUACGUACAGAAUCAGAGCUUCCCAGAAGAGAUGAGCGAAUCGUCCUCAAGACAAAAGUCAUCUCGUCUGGAUAAGCUCCAUCCAAUCAAGGUUGAUGGUUUAUUGAGGGUAGGAGGAAGGCUUUCAAGAGCUCCUCUGACGGAUGAGGAAAAGCAUCCCAUCAUCCUCCCUAAUGACCACCAUGUGACAACUUUGAUAAUCAACGAGCAUCAUCAACAGGUUGGGCACUCAGGUGCUGGAAUCACAUGGACAGCUCUGAGACAAAAGUUCUGGGUCCUCAGAGGAGGAGCAACGGUAAGAAGGAUCAUCGGCAACUGCUUCAAAUGCAAAAGAAGAAACUCUCCUAGAGGGAAGCAGUUCAUGGCCGACCUCCCUGAGGAAAGAGUGACCCCAGACAGACCUCCGUUCACAACCACCGGAUUGGACUAUUUCGGUCCAUUCCUUGUGAAAAGAGGACGCAGUCAGGAGAAGCGAUAUGGCUGUGUCUUCACCUGCCUUGCGUCAAGAGCAGUUCAUCUUGAAGUUGCACAUUCACUGGAUACGGACUCCUUCAUCAAUGCUCUACGACGGUUUAUCAACCGUAGAGGAUGCCCAGACAAGAUAUACAGUGACAAUGGCACCAACUUCAAGAGUGGGCACAGGGAGCUGAAAGAAAGCAUCACCGCUCUAAAUUCGAAGAAGGUCGGAAGGUAUCUUGCCCAGACAGGAAUCCAGUGGGAAUUCAACCCACCAGGAGCAAGCCAUAUGGGUGGAGUCUGGGAAAGGAUCAUACGUUCCGUAAGGAAGAUCCUAGAAAGCCUUCUGAAUCAACAGACCUUAACGGACGAAUCCCUCUUGACACUAUUAACUGAAGUAGAGGCAAUUCUUAAUGCCAGACCCUUGACUAAGAUAAGCUUAGACCCACGAGACCACGAACCUCUAACUCCAAACCAUCUCCUUCUUCUGAGAAGAAGCCAAUCACUUCCACCUGGCAUCUUCAACAAAGAAGAUUGCUAUGUCAGGAAGAGGUGGCGACAAGUUCAAUAUAUGGCCGAUCAAUUCUGGAAGAGAUGGGUGAGGGAGUAUCUACCCCUUCUGCAAGAAAGACAGAAGUGGACAAAACCACAAAGAAACUUUGAACCAAAUGACCUAGUCCUCAUAGCCGAUGACAACUUCCCACGUGGUCAGUGGCCCCUGGGUAGGGUUGUCGAAACUUAUCCAGACAAGCAGGGUAGGGUCCGACAAGUUGAAGUCAGGGUUGGGUCAAAAAUUCUAAAACGUCCCAUUUCCAAAUUAUGCUUACUGGAAGCUCAUGGUCAUAAUUCCUAAUUUGGUAUCUAAUUUACUCUAUCUCUCUCGAGGUUGUGUUUAAGUUCUAUUGUGUAACUCAGAAGAAAUUUGAUUGUUGCGUAUUCAAUCAAGUACAAAUUACUUGAAUUUAGGUAUAUUGCUCUUGUUAUGUAUUCCAUGUACUGAAUCUAUAAAUGUGUUUCUUAUAUCAUGUUUAAUUUGUUAUAUGCCUGUUCAAGAAAAGUUUACUAUGUAUGUUAUAACAUGAUGAUAUCAUGUUUGGUGUGAUAUUCACGCCGCCUUUGAUAGUUAGAAAAUGAUCAUCCCGUGGUCAGUUCAUUGGGGCCGGUAUGUUACGGCGGCUACCAGUCAGAAUUAGUUCCCAAAAUUUACCUUAAAGAAUAUAUGAGUAACACCCCUAUUAGGCAUGUUAGGAGUGUAACCCCUAAUUUGCAUAUCUGUGGUCAAGCCCAAGGAGUGGGCAUCAUACUUGCACAAAGAGCUCUUUGCUUAGAAAAAGAAAGUUGGAUGCAGUUGCUCUUAAAGAAGCUCACAGCAAGUUGACAAGAAUUCAUCAUUUUGGGGUAUAUAACAGUUGCUAACCACACACAUACGCAGUGACACACACACACGUUGGUCAUACAUACACACCUACGCACAGUGGAACACGUGCGACUGGUUGUAUUCACAUGUACGUCAUAUAAGCUCAGGCAGUGUUCACACAUUACGCUCAAGUCGUGUUCACACACAAGUUUAUGUUACGAAUCAAGUGACACUUCGACAUUUGUUAUUGCUCGUCGAUCUUUAUCCAUUGAAUAAAUGCAACAAGGUUUUAUUGGUUGGAACUUUAAGACAAGGUCUUCGUGGUGAUUUAUUAAGCGUCGUGGUGACUUUCAAGUUUGUGUGCGUUAGAACGUUAUAGUUUCCCUCCGUGUAGGAAGUUUAUUUCGUGAGCUGUAAACGACC
RNA transcript from Lytechinus pictus (painted urchin), 8500 nucleotides. RefSeq lists it as uncharacterized. Lineage: Eukaryota; Metazoa; Echinodermata; Echinoidea; Temnopleuroida; Toxopneustidae. The transcript is spliced from 2 exons. The record is from RefSeq and is a predicted model, not a curated record.